Molecule: long non-coding RNA, 3824 nt
Organism: Passer domesticus (house sparrow)
Lineage: Eukaryota; Metazoa; Chordata; Aves; Passeriformes; Passeridae
Exons: 3
Source: RefSeq, a predicted model, not a curated record
CCUGGCCACACCUGCCAGGUGUGUUUAACCCAGCCCCUGCUCAUCUCCUCCAGCCUUUUGGGCUGCAGGUGAGGACCAGAAACACCAAAGCAAGGAGAAGGUGGUGCUCCGUGAACCGGGAGUUUAGGGUUUGUUGGGUGCCAGCUCCCACCUGCAAGCCCUGCCUGCCCAUCCCACAGCAGAGCUGAGCUCUGUGGCCAUUCCUGCUCUCCAGCCCUUGCCCUCCUGCAGGUUUGCAGCGAGCUUUGCAGGAUGCUUUGCACUUCUCCUUCCAGUUGCUUGGUUCUCUUGCCUCCCUGCUGUUUCCUUGGAAAAGUUAAUUUCCCCUAUGGACCUUCUUUAGAUGGAAACAUUCCCCCUCAGUGGAGAUGGUGAGCACAGAAAACAACAGAUUCCAGCCUGAAUGGAAAUAAUUAGAAACACCUUUUGCUAAAGGUGAAGGAAAUUAAGAUUAGAUGUGGCCUGGAUUUAUGGCAACAGCUUCCCAAAAUCUCCUGUUCCAGCUCCAGCUCACUCCUUACCACCUUCUGCAGCAGCUGGUACCAGCAAAAAGCAAAGGUCGUAAAAGUCACUCAGCACUCAGCCACCUGAUUAGAGCUGUCAGCCAAAGCCUCCUGCAGCCACUGCAGGGGUGAAACACCACGGAAAAGCACACAUGGGUUGUCCCACGAGCCAGACAGGAGCACACAUUGUGUUCCCAGGGGGAACGUGCUGCAAAUCCCUGUCCCAGGCAGGAGGAGUGCCAGAGGAAGGAAGCACACCUCUCCCAAAGCAGGAUGUGCCUUCAGAAAGCACAUUUUGCAGGUGUCCUCCUGCAUUUCCACACUAGCAGCUGGACUCAGGAGUGACCAGCUUCCACCACAGAGUGACCAGCUUCCAUCACAGAAAGUGACCAGCUUCCAUCACAAAAAGGGUGUCCAGUUCUUCCAUCACAGAAAAUAUGUCCAGCUUCCAUCACAGAAAGACUGUCCAGUUCUUCCACCACAGAAAGAAGCCUGCUAGCUGGCUUGGGUGUCUGAGAGAGACCAAAUUUGUCAGGUCAGAUACCUCCCAGCUGAGAAUGGGACACUACCAAUGGAGACUAGAACAUGGUUGAGGGGGUCCUGAUCUGCCCCAGAGAAGGAACUGAGCAUUGCAGCUCUCUCCCUCACGAUGUGACACUGGAAAGGUGCAGACUGACACUAUGGGGAUCCUCGUGCAUCCUUUGCUGGGACCUUUCAGGCUCCAUUAGCUCUCUGAAAUGCCUGUGCAGCAAUGCACACGGCGUGGGGCAUAAACAAGAAGAUUUAGAGCUCUCUGUGUGGUCACAGAGCCAUAAUCUCAUCACAGUUACAGGUCAUGGGGAACAGGAGAGCUGCUUGAGGCCUGGAGGAAAGCCAAGUCACUCCAGUGCUCAGAAAGGGCACGAAGGAGGACCCAGGGAGCUGCAGGCCAGGCAGCCUCAGCUCCAGCUCUGGAAAGGUUAUGGAACAGCUCAUCCUGAAUGCCAUCUCCACGCUUGGGGAGGAGAAGGAGGUUACCAGGAGCAGUCAGCACGGGUUCAGCAAGGGGAAAUCAUGCUCAGCCAGCCUGAUAGGCUUUGGGGAUGGAAUGGUGCCUGGUAGGUGAGGGAGAGCAGUGGUUCCUGUGUGCCCUGGCUCCAGCAGAGUCCUUGGCACUGUCCAUAACCUCCUCACAGGGAGGGUGGGACGCUGAGAUUGGACAAUGGGUUGAGAACUGGCUGGCAGAGCUCAGGGGGCUCUGAUGGUGGCACAGGGUCCAGCUGGAGGCCUGUGACUGGUGCUGCUCCCCAGGGGACACUACUGGGCCCAGUCCUGUUCAAAUUAAUUCAGCCAUGACCUGGAGGAAGGGGCAUUGCCUGUGGAGGACACACCACGAGCUUUGUCACGGGACAAACACAGAGGAGGACUCCAGGAGAUCCGGGCCUGACCCCCGAGGCUGAAUGGAGCACAGGUGUCCCCAGGGAGCCUCUCUUGUCACCUUUGCUGUGUCCCCUUGGCGCAGGUGCUGGAUGCUGCAGGGCUUUAGGGGAAGGCAGGUGGCACCUGCUCUGGGAACACUCUGUCCCUGCAGCCAGCAGGGACCAGCAGCUGGGCUUCUCAGCUUCCUCCUGGGUGCUGAGCCCUAGAACAGGAGAGCUGCGGGGCCAGAGGGAGAAAAAGGAGAUGAAACCAUGCACAUCUCCAUGUGGUGCUCAGGAGAGGAAUUUUUUACUUAGAUCCUUGUCGUCCAUUCUGCUGCUGCUUCCAGAUGUUUUUGUUGUAGCUCCAUGGCUCAGACCAGGAGCUUUGACUCAGAAGGGGACUCCUCUGCUGGCACAGGUGGGCAGGAGCAUCCCUAGGAGUGAGACGUGGGACUCCCUCUGAAAUGGGAAGGCCUAAAAUGGGGGACAUGGGCCUCAGUGAGUCCAUCACUGACAAUAAUGAGCAGGGAGGCAUUUUUGGGCACUUCCUACCUCUCUGCAGGGGCUGAAGGGCCUUUUCCUUGCCUUGUGCCCUUCACACUGCCAGUCCCCACACGAUCAGAAAUGCCAGUGCUCCUCCUGAGCACCACGAUGGAAAUGCAAAGAGGAAAUCAUCCCGGGGACUACAGACAGACAGAUCCACAGGACUGGGCUCUGCACCCCUCAGCACGUGGGCAGGGGUGGAUCCACAGCUGCCCUGGCACCACAGCUCUGCUGGGGAUGUGUGGCAGCCCCGAGGCUGCCCUGCACACCUGACCCACCUGCCCUCCCUGUCACCCACCUCGGGGUGGCUGCAGCACGUUGUCCUUGUGCCACAGGACAGUGUCACUGUCACCCUGCAGGCUGCCUGUGCAUGGCAGGAGGAGGCUGUGGUGCUGGGAGUGAUGUUCUUUUGUUGUAGGCAUGAGGGCUAAACUUCAACCACCACAGCUAUCAACAACCCCAGCCAGCACAGCACUUCUGCACACUCCUAACCCAAGGACCUGUGCUCAAAGGCCAGACCAUUUCCUGAGUGAAGGAAAGCCCAAACUGAACAUUGUCUGCAGCCUCCUAAGCUCAAAGACAGGCUGGAAUGGGUGGUGGUGCAUGAACCCACCUCCAGGGACAAUCCUUUGUCCCUUCCCACCACACUUUGAUGCUCUGCUUGCAGAGAUUUGAGCACGUGGGACAUACAGGACUGCAGGAAAUUCUGCUCAUCAAUUCCUCCAUUCACAGUUCCUAAAAAUGGUCAACAUUCCCACUUACUCUGGACUGCCUUGCAAAGUGGUGAAGGAUCUUUAGCUCAGCAAAGAUGGGGAGCCCUGUGGAUGCACUCUGAGGCAUUUCCUCACAAUAUAUAACAUCUAGCACCUGGUGUGUCCAGGCAGAGAGGCUCCUGGGCUAACCCAUGAGGAGGCAUUUGUGAAUCAGAGGAUGCAGAGUCACUAAAACAGGAGUCACAGCUGCCCAAGCAGCUGCUGGUAGCUCUCAGCCCCACCAGUCCAAGGGGGCUGUGACUUGUGGUCUUUCCUUGCCAGCACCUGAGGGUGUUUAGGUGGUCCUGGGGGUGAUGAUGGAGCCUUUGUCCUGUAGAAUAGCUUGAGGGAAACCUUUCCUGAAGGAACGUGGAAAUGGAAGUGCAAAGGCUCUUUGGUUUAGUGAGCUCAGUCCUGGAUGCAGCUGCAGCAGGAGACAGAGGCUGUGUUCUAUACAGGGUGGGAAAACUCCCCCUUGCCUCUGCUUGUCUCUAUCUCCACCUCAUGAGGAGCACUUCAUUUACUUUCAGGUUGUUUUCCACCUUCUGCACAGAAAUGCCAGCUGUAAGACUGCAUUUUCUCCUUUUCUGCAGGACUUCCAUUAAAUUCCUGGUUUUAUAAAAGUU